UGCACCCUCAAUCGCCGCCAACUUCACUGGCUUCUCUUUACUUUACCAAAGAACGUGGAGCGAACAGCACCGCGUUGCGAAAGAUAACUAAUUAAAAAAUGUGAACCAGUGAUUACUAGGUGCUUGGUUCAAGCGCUGGCAUGUGUGGAAUAAAUUGAAACAAAAUGGAGUCAUGUGCAACACGUGUUUCUGGCAGAGAUCGACAUAAGAUCGUUCAUGCGACUUCGUUACGGAAUAUUAAUGGGGAUCUCUUCAUAAAAUGUUUAUUACAUCGCACAAUGGUCACACGAGGCUUACAAACCUAGUUUCUAUUGCGUUCAAAUCGUUCAUUCGACUUCAUUACGGAAUAUUAAUGGGGAUCUCUAAAAGUUCAUUACAACACACAAUGGAUAAAAAAUACUGUGACGAACGAAGCUUACCAAGCCAGUUAAAAAGGUGUUAAAGCAGUACAAAAAUGCCAAUGGUUCAUUUAUCCAGGCCAGGAAGGUUUGGAACCUUUGAUGAAAAAUAUUAUAAUAUUGUGGAACCAUAAAUAAAUAAAACUCAAUUUGCGUUGUUAAAAA
This is a long non-coding RNA of Drosophila erecta, 563 nucleotides long. RefSeq lists it as uncharacterized. Lineage: Eukaryota; Metazoa; Arthropoda; Insecta; Diptera; Drosophilidae. The record is from RefSeq and is a predicted model, not a curated record. The transcript has 8 exons.